UGGGGAAUUUUGGACAAUGGGCGAAAGCCUGAUCCAGCAAUGCCGCGUGUGUGAAGAAGGCCUUCGGGUUGUAAAGCACUUUUGUCCGGAAAGAAAUCCUUGGCUCUAAUGCAGUCGGGGGAUGACGGUACCGGAAGAAUAAGCACCGGCUAACUACGUGCCAGCAGCCGCGGUAAUACGUAGGGUGCAAGCGUUAAUCGGAAUUACUGGGCGUAAAGCGUGCGCAGGCGGUUUGCUAAGACCGAUGUGAAAUCCCCGGGCUCAACCUGGGAACUGCAUUGGUGACUGGCAGGCUAGAGUAUGGCAGAGGGGGGUAGAAUUCCACGUGUAGCAGUGAAAUGCGUAGAGAUGUGGAGGAAUACCGAUGGCGAAGGCAGCCCCCUGGGCCAAUACUGACGCUCAUGCACGAAAGCGUGGGGAGCAAACAGGAUUAGAUACCCUGGUAGUCCACGCCCUAAACGAUGUCAACUAGUUGUUGGGGAUUCAUUUCCUUAGUAACGUAGCUAACGCGUGAAGUUGACCGCCUGGGGAGUACGGUCGCAAGAUUAAAACUUAAAGGAAUUGAC
Molecule: ribosomal RNA, 566 nt
Filed under: uncultured bacterium
Lineage: Bacteria
Description: partial 16S ribosomal RNA
Rfam family: Bacterial small subunit ribosomal RNA
Source: RNAcentral